RNAcentral lists this ribosomal RNA (468 nucleotides) under uncultured bacterium. Its description in RNAcentral is "partial 16S ribosomal RNA". It matches the Rfam family "Bacterial small subunit ribosomal RNA", at positions 28 to 507 of the family's 1533-position model. The record is from RNAcentral.
GACGAACGCUGGCGGCGUGCUUAACACAUGCAAGUCGAACGGAAAGGCCCUGCUUUUGUUGGGUGCUCGAGUGGCGAACGGGUGAGUAACACGUGAGUAACCUGCCCUUCACUUUGGGAUAACCUCAGGAAACUGGGUCUAAUACCGGAUAGGAGCUCCUGCUGCAUGGUGUGGGUUGGAAAGUUUCCGCGGUUGGGGAUGGUCUCGGCGCAUCAGCGCUUGGUGGGGGGAGUGUGGUUUACCGACGUCUACGCGUGGCCGGCGCGAGAGAGUGUGCGGCGACACUGUGAGUGAGAUAUGGGGCAGACUCCUAUAGGGGGCAGAAGUGGGGAAAAUUGCACAAUGGGGGCAAGAGUGAGGUAGAGAAGCGGCGUGGGGGAGGAGGGGGUUUGGGUGGUAGAAUCCGCUCUCGCGGGACAAAGCGCUUUUGUGACGGUACCUGGUAAAGAAGCACCGGCUAACUACGUG